This is a long non-coding RNA of Trichosurus vulpecula (common brushtail), 98 nucleotides long. RefSeq lists it as uncharacterized. The record is from RefSeq and is a predicted model, not a curated record. NCBI's taxonomy places the organism in Eukaryota, Metazoa, Chordata, Mammalia, Diprotodontia, Phalangeridae. The transcript has 3 exons.
AAAAAGGGAGAUUUUGCUACUCAAGGACCAAAAGGUGACAAAGGAGAACGUGGACAUCCGGGAGCACCAGGUGAAAGAGAGAAAGGUGAACCUGGUAA